RNAcentral lists this ribosomal RNA (107 nucleotides) under Bacillus thuringiensis. Its description in RNAcentral is "partial 16S ribosomal RNA". It matches the Rfam family "Bacterial small subunit ribosomal RNA", at positions 1 to 100 of the family's 1533-position model. Lineage: Bacteria; Bacillati; Bacillota; Bacilli; Caryophanales; Bacillaceae. The record is from RNAcentral.
CUUUAUUGGAGAGUUUGAUCCUGGCUCAGGAUGAACGCUGGCGGCGUGCCUAAUACAUGCAAGUCGAGCGAAUGGAUUGAGAGCUUGCUCUCAAGAAGUUAGCGGCG